GUAGUCCACGCCGUAAACGAUGAGAACUGGUUUUUGUGGGUAUUGACUCCCUCAGAAACGAAGCUAACGCGUUAAGUUCUCCGCCUGGGAAGUACGGUCGCAAGACUAAAACUCAAAGAAAUUGACGGGGGCCCGCACAAGCGGUGGAUUAUGUGGUUUAAUUCGAAGCAACGCGCAGAACCUUACCUAGGCUUGAAAUCCUACGAAUUCGACGUAAUGGUUGAAGUGCCCUUCGGGGAGCGUAGAGACAGGUGCUGCAUGGCUGUCGUCAGCUCGUGUUGUGAAAUGUUGGGUUAAGUCUCGCAACGAGCGCAACCCCUAUCUUUAGUUGCCAGCAUUAAGUUGGGCACUCUAGAGAGACUGCCUGGGUUAACCAGGA
RNAcentral lists this ribosomal RNA (379 nucleotides) under uncultured bacterium. Its description in RNAcentral is "bacterial SSU rRNA". It matches the Rfam family "Bacterial small subunit ribosomal RNA", at positions 790 to 1167 of the family's 1533-position model. The record is from RNAcentral.